CGGCGGGGUGCCUAAUACAUGCAAGUCGAACGAACUCUGGUAUUGAUUGGUGCUUGCAUCAUGAUUUACAUUUGAGUGAGUGGCGAACUGGUGAGUAACACGUGGGAAACCUGCCCAGAAGCGGGGGAUAACACCUGGAAACAGAUGCUAAUACCGCAUAACAACUUGGACCGCAUGGUCCGAGCUUGAAAGAUGGCUUCGGCUAUCACUUUUGGAUGGUCCCGCGGCGUAUUAGCUAGAUGGUGGGGUAACGGCUCACCAUGGCAAUGAUACGUAGCCGACCUGAGAGGGUAAUCGGCCACAUUGGGACUGAGACACGGCCCAAACUCCUACGGGAGGCAGCAGUAGGGAAUCUUCCACAAUGGACGAAAGUCUGAUGGAGCAACGCCGCGUGAGUGAAGAAGGGUUUCGGCUCGUAAAACUCUGUUGUUAAAGAAGAACAUAUCUGAGAGUAACUGUUCAGGUAUUGACGGUAUUUAACCAGAAAGCCACGGCUAACUACGUGCCAGCAGCCGCGGUAAUACGUAGGUGGCAAGCGUUGUCCGGAUUUAUUGGGCGUAAAGCGAGCGCAGGCGGUUUUUUAAGUCUGAUGUGAAAGCCUUCGGCUCAACCGAAGAAGUGCAUCGGAAACUGGGAAACUUGAGUGCAGAAGAGGACAGUGGAACUCCAUGUGUAGCGGUGAAAUGCGUAGAUAUAUGGAAGAACACCAGUGGCGAAGGCGGCUGUCUGGUCUGUAACUGACGCUGAGGCUCGAAAGUAUGGGUAGCAAACAGGAUUAGAUACCCUGGUAGUCCAUACCGUAAACGAUGAAUGCUAAGUGUUGGAGGGUUUCCGCCCUUCAGUGCUGCAGCUAACGCAUUAAGCAUUCCGCCUGGGGAGUACGGCCGCAAGGCUGAAACUCAAAGGAAUUGACGUGGGGCCCGCACAAGCGGUGAAGCAUGUGGUUUAAUUUCGAAGCUACGCGAAGAACCGUUACCAGGUCUUGACAUACUAUUGCUAG
RNAcentral lists this ribosomal RNA (1000 nucleotides) under Lactiplantibacillus sp. RNAcentral describes it as "bacterial SSU rRNA". It matches the Rfam family "Bacterial small subunit ribosomal RNA", at positions 37 to 998 of the family's 1533-position model. The record is from RNAcentral. Lineage: Bacteria; Bacillati; Bacillota; Bacilli; Lactobacillales; Lactobacillaceae.